CCAAACUUUCUUUCUUCUUAGGGAUCUCGGGAGCAGCUUGCUAUUGCAGAGUUUGCAAGAUCGCUUCUUGUCAUUCCUAACACACUGGCAGUGAACGCUGCCCAAGACUCCACAGAUCUGGUUGCAAAGUUAAGGGCUUUUCAUAAUGAGGCUCAAGUUAACCCAGAGCGUAAAAAUCUAAAAUGGAUUGGUCUUGAUUUGAUCAAUGGUAAACCAAGAGACAACAAGCAAGCAGGAGUGUUUGAACCAACCAUAGUUAAAGUAAAGAGCUUGAAAUUUGCAACAGAAGCUGCAAUUACCAUUCUUCGAAUUGAUGAUCUGAUUAAAUUACACCCAGAAAGUAAAGAUGAUAAACGUGGAGGUUAUGAAGAUGCUGUUCAUUCUGGAGCCCUUGAUGACUGAUGUGAUUUCCCUUUUAUUUAAUUUAUAACAAAUCUAGAUGCAGUGCCUUGUGCCUAGUAUUACACAUUAAAGUACAACAGGCUGACAGCUUU
Non-coding RNA from Heterocephalus glaber (naked mole-rat), 494 nucleotides. Lineage: Eukaryota; Metazoa; Chordata; Mammalia; Rodentia; Bathyergidae. The record is from RefSeq and is a predicted model, not a curated record.